CACUAUAAAGGGUUUGAUUAGAUUUAAGAAUGAUGUUCCUAAGAUCAUGGAUUGGUUUAAGUUUUUGACUAAAAUGAAGGAAAUUUUUAAACAGAUAUCUUGAUUGCAUAUAUAUGCAUAUGUUAGUUUGUAUUUUAUUUCAAGUGUUGAUCCACAAGCAAUGUUAAGUUUUUCUUUGUUUUUUUCAAAAUAUUUUUUUGGUAUUAGUCUUUCUUGUACGCAAUUUGAGUCUGCACCUAAGUCUAUCAGUGCUAUAGUAUCAAGCUUG
This 268-nucleotide long non-coding RNA is filed under the name Elaeis guineensis (African oil palm). RNAcentral's name for it is "long non-coding RNA (EGUI_LNC021981)". Lineage: Eukaryota; Viridiplantae; Streptophyta; Magnoliopsida; Arecales; Arecaceae. The record is from RNAcentral.